GAAUCGGUGCGAGAAGCAAACGCCCGCAGAACUGGUCAUCACCGGGAUGCUGGGCAGAAAGCUGCGGCCAGCGGGAGCCUUCUGCCGAGCGAGGUCAAGAGAAGUCCAAAACAAUGACGCUUGGCAAAGCCUGUGUUUUUUUAAAGCCGAAACUGCUUCAAUCGUCAUCGAGGGAUUUUGCUGCGCUCUCACUGUGAGGCUGCCGGCGUCCGUGUAACUGUGGCUGCUAACGCACGCAUCCGUGGGCCCCGCUGGGUCGGAGCGAUGCCAGCCAGGCAGCCCGGGCUGCACACCGUCCUCAGGUGUAACUCUGUGCUCAGGGAGCUCUCCUCACACAGCAAGCAUGGAGAGUUAACGUCACCGGCACGGCCAGGAGAUCCCAGCUGCUUGGCUGGAUGCUUGGGAGCUAUGAAGGGAAAGCAGUGCUUUUCUUUUCCCUCUGGGAAAUUAUCGGGUUUCUGGUUUAAAACUAAGCCCUCUAAUUUCAGAAAUUCCUUCGUCUCACCCUCUUUUAUUUCUAUAAGAAUAGGAGGCCCGUGCCUGUGAUCACUGCGUACCACGUCCUUACAGCCACACAACCCCCUUCUUGGACGCUUCAGGGAUGCUGAUUCCACCGCUUCCCCGGACAGCCUGCUCCAACCUCACCACUCUUUCUGAGAGGAACGUUUUCCUAAUAUCCAACCUGAAUAGGAGUGGCCUAUGAGACAUGAAAUGCUUUCUCAGUUCAGUUGUACCCUAUCGAUUUCUUAUGAUCUCUAAGAGAAAUAACCAUGGGUGUUUUCCAAAGUUUUCUUUGGAACAAACAAGUGCCCUCUACUGUUUGCUACCAUCAGGUGUCAUUGUCAUACGAUGUAUUUUAACAGUCAGGCCCAUCCCUUGCAUCUUGAAUGCAGGUACACCUAACCUUAUACCAUGCAUUUUGGAAAUGCUCAUUCACUGUGGAUGUGUAAAUGAUGUUUGAUUUCACCUUUCCUCUGCUAUUUUCAUGCGUAGCUUUUGCACAGAGGUAGGCUGUUCUGCAUCAGACCAGCACUACAGGCACAGGGGGAAUUUGCACACUCCACUCUCUCACCUGCCAUAAAAAGCAAGUUGUGCUGGAGGUAAGUAUUAAAAAGGGUAAUAGUCUUCAAAAAAGCACUGGGUUUAAACAAUUGCAGAUAGAAUUCAUGCAAAACAUUACAGGGAAUGUUGUAUUUGUUGCAACUGCUGAGCACAUAAAGAGAAUGUUGACCUGCACAAGCAAUUUUGGGAGCCCUGAGCAGGACAGGUCACCCUCAGAAUUCCUUCAUUUCUGCCUGCUUUCUGUGAUAAGCCUUGCUUUGCUUUAUUCUCCAUAUUUCACAGUUCCAACUGAAAGAAUCACAAUACUGUCUUACUUAUUUUUCAUGAAGGUUAAAGACUUGAGCAGCGUCGUGAUACUUUGUUUGCAUGUGAAAAUGCCCUACAGACUGAGCUAGGGACAAAGAAGAACAAAGAAGGUUCUUUCUCUGGUUAUUUUAAUUGUGAAGAAUAAAAAGUAACUAUAAAAUACUUAAUGAACUAUAAUGAAGUUCAUCUGGAAAACCCAACAUUCACACUGUGUUUAUGAUUCCCCUGGCCUGGACUAACAUCAGAGCCUCUGGAAUUGUAUAUCCUGGUUCAAACAUUAUGGUGAGGCCAUUUUGUUCCAGAAAGGGUCCUGUGGUGUUGCUCUUAGCUGCAUGUCUCCCACACAGUGCUGUGGUGCAUACUGCCCUAUUACACGUGACUGCUGAGUGAGCCCACGGAAAGCUUUCAGAUGUGCCAAAAACCACUUGGAGGUUCACUGGUGUUAUUUUUUCUUGGUGUGAAACAAAUAAAAAUAUCCCGCCUGACUGAACGCAGCUCAGGCUGCAAAGUAAUGUUGGUAAUUAUCUUCUUAUUCAUAUUGGUGGUUUUAGGCAGUCUGAGAAUCCCAGCCCCAUUGAAACACUGAGACUUCAGGAAAGCAUUUAGCCUAACCUGAUUUGCAGUUCAGCACCUGAUCCAGCAGAUGUACCAGCCAAAACUUUACCAAGGGUAACAAACAAAGCCUGGGGUUAAUUUAGAUAUUUCUCAGAUUAAGAGGUGGGAAACAUGCAAAUAAGGCUAUGAUGAGGCUUUGUAGCUUCCACAAUGGGUAUCAGAUACUCUUCAGCAAGCCCUUGACUUUCAAAACGAUUGCAGGAUUUUUCAGCACUUCUGCUGAGGAAAUACUUACUGUUAAUGACACAGAAAAAAAAAAAAUUCCAAGAAAAAUAAUCAAAUACUUUACACUGUUCAGAAACAUUUAGGUUCCUGUUUACUCACAUUCUCACAGUAAACAGGAGGCUAGUUAGCAAAGGUACAGAGAUGAGAUAAAGGCAAAGCACAUCUUUCUCAGAGUCCAGUUCAGGGAUGCUAUCUCAGAUUUAGAAAAAAAUAAAUAAAUAAAAGAGGAGACAUCAUUUGCUAAUUACUAUUCCCAGAGCAAAACUAAACCUUAGAAAUAAUGAUUAGUCAUCAGCUACAACCUGCUUAGUAGAAGAGGCUAGAUUUCAAAAAGAUGCAUAAAUUGGGUGGCUAAGUCCACAGACACAAGAAUUAAUGAACUGCCGAGGGCUUAACAUGUUUCAAAAGUCAAAUGACUUAACCUAAGUGUGGCCUAAAGCUGCAGAAACCCCAUGGUGGUAAUUAAUUAUAGUUUUAGCUUUCAUAAACAUCUGCUGGAAACUGGUGGGUGCAUCUUACCACACAAGAAUCCUUUUUUGGUCACCAAAAGGCAAGUGGAGUGGCACAGCAGUUCAACACUAGUCAUACUCUCCUCCCUUCGUGCUUUAUUCAGUUUUAGAAUUGCAAAGUAACGUCAUUCAGUCAGCUCUUCCUUCAUUCCAUUGAGCAUUUUAAGUACUGAGCAGAACUGAUUUGGAAACAUCUGAACUGCUUUGAGCACUAGAAGUCAUCAAAUUUAGAAUCUUCAAAAGCAAAUGACCUGAAAGUGAAUCAUGAAAAACACAGAGGCAUCCCCAGCUUUGGACUUCUGGCAAAUGGAGCUCUUUUGAUCCUCAUCACAGCACAACAGGAACCACCCACUGUUCUCAGGAAUCACACACUGCUGCUUCUCUUCUGCUUAGUGAGCCCUUUUCACCUGUCAGGUGUCUGCCCCAUGCUAUUUAUCUCAGCUCUGCUACGUUCCUGUUAUCUCAUUUAUGUUACUUAACCUUUCUGCCUUCUCCAUUGUAUUCAUCUGCCUCCUGACAACUGACCUUCCUUCAGCAGCUGGGCAUGUUUUUAGUUACUUUAUUGUUUCUUUAAAGCAAUAUAGCUGUUAACUGUAACGGAUAAGAUAAUUUAAAGAACGAUCAGUCCCUAAAGCAUUACUUGUUGGAUAGAGGACCAUCCAAAUCACUUUCAGCAUAAGAAUGUGCACUGCACGCUUUUGCUCUUAUAUGUGAGCAGGAAUGAAUUCUCAGCAAUGUUGGUACCCCAAGGGAUAACUAGUCAGAUAACAGCUCUGUUCAGUUUAGUUUCAUUAAGACUACUGCCUGAAGCAGAAGCAACACUCAGAGCUCAGAGGAAAACAUAUGCUCAUACCCUGAGACAUGCUGACAGCAUCCUGGUCACUGGACUGGACUGACAGAUGGGAUCCAGGGCCGAGGGUGUCAGGGCUCCCAGCUGCAGCAAGCCCCCUGUUACAGCACUGGGUCACUGCAGGAGGGUUCCAGAGCACAUCCAGCUCUCCUUUCACUCACCCAGCUCUCCUCUGCUGCUUGCAUUCCCUGCAGGCAUUACUGAUGGCAGUGGCUGUGGGAAAGUGUUUUUUAUUUUUUCUAUAGCAGGUGCUGUUCCACUGUAUUGGGAAAUCCCCUUGGAGGUCAGAGAUGAGAGAUUUAUCAUCAGUUGGAGGCAGGAGCCACUAGUUUGGACUCACACAUGAUCUGAUCUGGAAGUACCCGAAGCAACAAGUUUCAGAAGAAACAGAAAGAUAUUUCUGCAUUCGCAGGUGCAACAUUAAUGAGAAAUGUGAUUUUUACCACGUGACAUCUGCUACUUGCACUUUGCAACCACUAAACUGCUCACCACUUCCAGAGGAAAAGAUAAGGCUUUCAGACCCAAACCCACCGAAAGGGGGGGUGGUUCAAGGCACUUUAGACUCCUCAUUAUCAAAAGGUGAGAUAUGCCAUCCUGUAGGCUGAGGUAAGUGGCUUCUACUUUUCUUGCUCCUCUGGUGUAGUAGGGCUGCGUUUGUCAGCUGUAGGUAUCCCUAAGCUGUGGCUGAUGAAGCAGCAUCCAGAGCAACGAAGUUAUCUCCUUGUAGGGUUGGGAACACCAGGAGCUGGAGGAAUACUCCAGCUUGCUUGCCUUUGCUUCUUAAGAAUAGGAUCACCUUCAGAAAAUGAAGGUAAUUUCUAUUUAAAUUGGCCUCGCUGUGCACCGAUUUGUGGCCAUGCUCAUUAGGAAGGGAGGGGGUCCGGGAAGCACCUUGCCUAAUAGCAGUAAGGCAAAAAGUGAACUGGAGGAGGAAAUGGAAAGAGGGUAGAAUAUGUUUAAGGAUUACAUCUUGGCACGCACAGCAUGUGAUUUUACAACCCAAGUCACACUGGCUAGGGGUAAAUCAGCAGCUAUUAAUCCCAUGGGAAACAAAGGAAACCCAAGGUACUACCUCCUGCAAGGAUUCUGUGAGAACUCAGCAGGUAACCGUGAUGAGAGUGCAGAUCUCUGCAGGCACAAUUAUACCUACCAUGGAAAACACAUGAAGAUUUUUCAGUGCAUAAAUCGGGGGCAGGAGGAAGAUAAGAUAUUUGUUUUUGUAUUUUAAUUAAACGUAAAGGGAACUGAAAGAUUUUUUUUAGCUCCGCAUCUUUUGGGACCUCCUAAAGCAAAGAGCUGUGCUUUGCUGAGCUUCCAUAGAUGGAUAGCUCUGGGAACAAAUGUUGAGAGGAAUUAAUCCUAACUUCAUCCACUAGGAAGUUUCUUUCUUUCCAGCCUUUAAGAAAACCCUGGUUUUCAUGACAACAGAAAGAAAAGCAAGUGCCCAUGCAUAAGAGUGAACAGAAUCCUAUUUAGAAAGUGAAUAGGGGUACAAAUUACCCAGCAUAAACACACAUCCAAGUAACUGUCUGUUUGCAAACUAAUUGGUUUUUCUAACUAUGGUUACUUAUGUAGGCAAAAAAAAAAAAAAAAGAUGAAAGGGGAGACCUUGACUGUUAUUUUCUCUUCAGCAUAAAUAGGCCAUCUGAGUUGUCUUAAUAAGGGAUGUAUCAUGUUCCUGAACUGACCAUAUGUUUUAUAGUUUUAAUUGCUUCUACCACUUUUUUUUUUUUUUUUCUUUUUUUCCCAGAGGGAUUUUGAAGGGUUUAGAGACUGUGAAAGAAGGGAGAAGAGUUGGCAAUGUCGGUAUCACAUCCUUUGCUGGAGUUCAUGUAUUGAUGUAGGGUUUUACCACACAGCAGUGAAAGUGCUGGCUAAAAAAAAAACAAUUCACAGAUCACAGAGGUAAAAGUUGGGAGCACCAAGAAGUGCAGAAGCUCAGCUGAACUUCAGUUAAAGUCUCAUCCUGUACGUCACAGUCACGCAAAGUCUAGAUGGAGACCUAUUUAUGUAUAGCCAACAAGACGGAGCCUUUCACUUGCAAGAACAACUGGCUUCUUAACACUGUCAGGAAGAAACCACUCCAUCCACGCAUGACCACGUUUUACCCUUCCUCCACACCUGUGCAAUACUUCCCAGCCACCAGACUCUUAACAUUUUACAGAGAGGGGGAGAACUUCACCCAGAGCAGAACUGAAUAACAAAAGAAAAGAAGAGAGGUACUGGAAAACAGCUGUUGCAGCCUGGGAAAAGCAACGACAACAACAAAGAAUGCAUUUCCACAGCAACGAUUUUCUGUACACAAAAUGCAGUGCGGUUUACACAGGAGGUGGUGUGCAGUGGUUGUCCUGCAUCUGCACCAGCAGCCUGUACCCUGCAUUGCUGCAGUGCAGCCUGCCCUCCCUCUGCGUUUCAGCCUUGUGCCAAAGGGGUCAUGGCUAAGGGCAGAAGUGUGACGAUGCUAAUGUUGCCUCUGCUCUUCUGGGUUAUGAGAAGCUGAAUCUCAGGCUACUGACGGCUUUCAUUAGCGAUAGUAGAUUUAAAUUAAGCUUUGUCCUUAUUUUAUUUUUAAAUAAACAGUUUAUGUAUUGAUAAAUUGUUUCUCUAAUGAUGAGCAUUACCAGUUUGUUUUACCCCAGGAAGGAAUGUAUAAGAAUUCUUCAGCAAAUAGAAGUCUUUGGAUUUUUGGACUAGUGAUGUUUCCAAGAUACUGGGCUUUCCCUGUGAAGCACACAAGGGAAGUACAGCAUCUUUAGGGAGAGGUUUUUUUUCCUCAGUUAGGAUUUGGUGUAAAAUUUCAGUCUGGCUUUAACUACAUCUCUCCUUCAAGGCUUAAAAUACAACAGUACUUUAAUCCUUAUUUUUAUAGAUGUAAGUAAUUCCUACUGCAGGUUUUUGGUUCACUGGCAGGAAAACUCAGGUUUGGAUAUCGCCCUAUUAUCUGACUUCUAACUCUGGGUUUCAGCUAGGCUGCAUGAGAGCCCUCUCCUUAUGCAUGGUGUUUUUAUGCAUGUAUGCUUUUCCAGUUCAUAGUGCCUGAGACAGAGCAAACAAUACAACCGUGGAGAGGAUACACAGCCUGCUGCACAGAGUGGCAUCAGAGUGUAAGUUUGAAGUAUAAAACCUGAAGAAGGCAGCAAAGAGUUUGGGGAACCAGUUCUGAUACAGUCCAUUGCCAGCUCUGUGGUGUGCCAGAUCUCUUAUAAAUUGCUAUUUAUCAUGGUCCAAGAGUUGUGCAGUGUUAGUGACAGGUCCCAAAGUGAAGCUAGUUCUCUGGCAUUGGCUUAUUUUGCAGUAAGAACAUGCCAUAAAGUCCUGUUCUUAUUCUAGGUCAGCUCAGAAUGGUGGGGGUGGUUUAUGAAAAGCUAGUUUCAGUCCAGUCAUUGUGAAGAUAGUAAAUGUUCUUCUGAGCCACAUGAAGGCCCCAGUCCAGGUGUUUUUCUCGGUGUAAUAUAUGCUGCCAAAUUUGUGUGUUUCUGAACAUCUAGCAGCAUUCACCGAUGGGUUUCCAUUAGUCCAGUGACUGAAGCACUUGUUCAAGAAGCAAGAUAGCUUGUCCAGUUCUCUUUUAAUCUGUAGGAAGUAUGCACAUUUUAAAUCGCCACACCAUGUCUUUCUAGGAGAAGGGAUAAGGAAUGAUUCUGGCCUUUCACUUACUGCCUUUGAAGCAGGGCAUUGUGCAGAAAGUCAGAAAGGGCAGACAAGACCCUUCAGCUGGGAACUGUUUUGUCUCUGCUCCAAGAACAGUUCCCAUAUUUCACGUUUGUGUGAAAUACAGUGCUAGAGGCAGGGGUUGGGAGCCUCUUCUACAAGGUUCAUGGCCUUCCUGUAGGAUAUCAUGAUUGUAGGAGUCACUCAAAGAGCUUGGCUUCUCUCUCUGGUCCAGGGAAUAUCAGACAGAGAGAGCAGCUCAAGAGCUUGUUCACCAAGUGAGCUAGUUGCAAGGCAAACCCAGCAAUACAACUGCAUGGCUACAGAUAGUGGCUCUGAGAAAAUCUGGGCUUAGUAUGAGUGCUGAUCCCAAGCCUUAUUUGCCACAGCUUGAAGACAAUGUAGGACACAUAGAUGUAACCUCUGAUGAGUGCCUAUGAUCAGGCAGAAGACAGGCACAGGAAAGAAGGUAUGAUCAGCAGGAAUCACAACUGAAAAAUAUUACAGAAAUCAACUGAAGUGACACACUAUUUCAUUCCUCAGCAGGUAUGCAGCAAAAACAAACCUGUGUCUGCAAAGCAGAUUCAAGAAGAGAAGCAAGGGAAUGGUGUACAAAGGGCAGAAGGCUGGCAGGGCUGUCAGGCAAUGGGAUGGGCACAGGGCUCUCCAGGGAAGCCCGUGCUGCGCUAAGAAAGAAGCACAGCAGGGUUGGCCUGGUUCUGUCCUUGCUGGCCCACAAUGAGCACCUUGAGGCAGCAGAGCAGGCAGUGCUUCACUGUGCAAUGUGUCACAUUUGGCAGCUCUUUUGCAGCUGCCAUGUGCUUGCACCUUUGGAUUGCGGGGCAAAGCAAUGCUGCAGGUGAAGGAACUCAGAUGGACUUAAAGCAACUGCUUGGACAGGUUACUUUCAAAUUCCCUGAUGAAAUUCUUUAUGCCGUGCCCUCCUGUUACUAGUGCUGAUGUGCAGGAGGAAGCAGAAAGAGAAGCAGAGAAGGAUGAGAUGAGAUGAAAGGGUCUCAGCCCCUGAAUGGAAUGAAUUGCUCAUCUGUUCUUGAGUUCUAUGAGGAGACAGCAUAAAGCAACUUUAGGGAAGCUCACACAGCCGAGGAGCGCAUCUUUGCUAUCCGUUUUCAAGGAGUAUUCUUAGCGUUGGCAGUAAGUUGCAAACUGGUCAAUUAACCGCGCGGUGACAAAUGAUUGCUUGCCAGAGCUGAUAGACUCCAGGCACCGUUAGCGAAACUAAUGCUGCCGUGCGGAGACUGCGGUGCGAGAGUGCCCCCUGUUGCUCCAGUGAGACUUGUAAGAGUUCCGAGGGAAUUGGUCAUAUACUGCAGAGAGGCUUCACCGCGAUGAAAGGUGGAAAAAAUGGCACGUAAGUGGGAGGCUGACAAAGCCAGGAGGGUGUGUGGCAAAGCACUAGAACAGCACAAUGAGAACCAAGAGGCAUGUGCAUCCAUAAGCAAAACCUCUUAUUACUCUAGCAAAAACGUGGCUGUAAGGUCAAUGCAUUACUCAGGCAUAGUGAGAAGUCUGAAGGGAUGGAAAAUCUCUGCCCCAGCAGAUAAGAGCAAGAGAAAUACCACCACGAAGUAACGUGUUUGUGUGCAGCCCACACCUUGCUCCCUGCAGCACAAGAACAGUGUUAGGCACACGUAAGUACCUCUCUCUGCCUUCCACUUAGCAGGAUACCUCUAAAAGACUUCUAACGGCAGUUAAAGUCCUGCUUUGGCAAAAUCUUUCCUCCUGUUUGCUGGAACCCUGGGCAUCAUCUGCACUGCAUACUUCAGAGAGAUUUUAUUUCUGCACGUCAUCCCUGCACUGUUGAAUUCCUUCCGAUGACCUGGGGCUAUGAGGAACACCUGGUUAAGUCUUUUAUUCAGUUUGAUCAAAAGAGCACUGACUCAGCCACGCAUUUAGCUGAAUGAGCGCUUCGCUAUGAAUAGCACAGAUAUUUGGACUCAAGUGUAUGUUAGCAGCAAUCAAUUGAAAUCUUCAUAAUGAAGGCCUGUGGGAACUAAAGGUGGAUGAAAGAAGAGGAAAAGAUGCUUUGUAGGGCAAGGUUAGGAUAUAAAGACCUGCAUCUUGUAAGCAGGUCAGCUGUUCCACACAGAGCCAGCAGCGUGCAGACAUUGGUAUUCUGCCUCAUCCCCCCCAUCACUAACAAUAAGGUGGUUAUGGUGAAUGCAGGCUGAAAUUCACGUCACAUACUGGUGAAUGUUGCAUAAUCAUCCAGGCCUGGGUACGCCGAGUGACUGCAGGAGAAGAAAGCUAGUGAUUAAUGCAAUACUAUGAUGGGGAGGGUUUGCAUGCUACCUACGUCUAUAGAUGAUGUAUUGGCAUGUGAAAUAUAGAGGGGUUAUUAGAGGCAGCAAGUGAAAACAACUGUUCUUCUGACAGCAACAGCAGUGACAUUAGUGGAAACUAGCAAGCAAUAGGAUGAUGGUUCCUGUUUUGAAAAUACUUAAUGCAUAUUGCUUUUGAAGAUAUGCUUCAGGGAAGCAGAUCAACACCAAUGAAGAAAACAGGCAGCAAAAAGCUAUCUGAUUG
Non-coding RNA from Phasianus colchicus (ring-necked pheasant), 9765 nucleotides. Lineage: Eukaryota; Metazoa; Chordata; Aves; Galliformes; Phasianidae. The record is from RefSeq and is a predicted model, not a curated record.